GUGCUUGUGGUGUAGAGGUUAUCACAUCCGCCUAACACGCGGAAGGUUCCAGGUUCGAUUCCUGGCAGGCACA
This 73-nucleotide transfer RNA is filed under the name Dermacentor andersoni. Its description in RNAcentral is "transfer RNA valine (anticodon AAC)". It matches the Rfam family "tRNA". From Rfam's summary of the family: Transfer RNA (tRNA) molecules are approximately 80 nucleotides in length. Their secondary structure includes four short double-helical elements and three loops (D, anti-codon, and T loops). Further hydrogen bonds mediate the characteristic L-shaped molecular structure. tRNAs have two regions of fundamental functional importance: the anti-codon, which is responsible for specific mRNA codon recognition, and the 3' end, to which the tRNAs corresponding amino acid is attached (by aminoacyl-tRNA synthetases). tRNAs cope with the degeneracy of the genetic code in two manners: having more than one tRNA (with a specific anti-codon) for a particular amino acid; and 'wobble' base-pairing, i.e. permitting non-standard base-pairing at the 3rd anti-codon position. Lineage: Eukaryota; Metazoa; Arthropoda; Arachnida; Ixodida; Ixodidae. The record is from RNAcentral.